ACGAACGCUGGCGGCGUGCUUAACACAUGCAAGUCGAACGGAAAGGCCCUGCUUGCAGGGUACUCGAGUGGCGAACGGGUGAGUAACACGUGGGUGAUCUGCCCUGCACUUCGGGAUAAGCCUGGGAAACUGGGUCUAAUACCGGAUAGGAGCCAUUUUUAGUGUGAUGGUUGGAAAGUUUUUUCGGUGUAGGAUGAGCUCGCGGCCUAUCAGCUUGUUGGUGGGGUAAUGGCCUACCAAGGCGGCGACGGGUAGUCGGCCUGAGAGGGUGGACGGCCACAUUGGGACUGAGAUACGGCCCAGACUCCUACGGGAGGCAGCAGUGGGGAAUAUUGCACAAUGGGCGCAAGCCUGAUGCAGCGACGCCGCGUGGGGGAUGACGGCCUUCGGGUUGUAAACUCCUUUCGCUAGGGACGAAGCUUUUUGUGACGGUACCUAGAUAAGAAGCACCGGCUAACUACGUG
This 464-nucleotide ribosomal RNA is filed under the name uncultured bacterium. RNAcentral's name for it is "partial 16S ribosomal RNA". It matches the Rfam family "Bacterial small subunit ribosomal RNA", at positions 29 to 507 of the family's 1533-position model. The record is from RNAcentral.